CUUUGCUGGCGACCGGCGCACGGGUGAGUAACACGUAUCCAACCUGCCGAUGACUCGGGGAUAGCCUUUCGAAAGAAAGAUUAAUACCCGAUGGCAUAGUUCUUCCGCAUGGUAGAACUAUUAAAGAAUUUCGGUCAUCGAUGGGGAUGCGUUCCAUUAGGUUGUUGGCGGGGUAACGGCCCACCAAGCCUUCGAUGGAUAGGGGUUCUGAGAGGAAGGUCCCCCACAUUGGAACUGAGACACGGUCCAA
This 250-nucleotide ribosomal RNA is filed under the name uncultured bacterium. RNAcentral describes it as "partial 16S ribosomal RNA". It matches the Rfam family "Bacterial small subunit ribosomal RNA", at positions 83 to 334 of the family's 1533-position model. The record is from RNAcentral.